AGAGUUUGAUACUGGCUCAGAUUGAACGCUGGCGGCAGGCCUAACACAUGCAAGUCGAACGGUAACAGGAAGCAGCUUGCUGCUUCGCUGACGAGUGGCGGACGGGUGAGUAAUGUCUGGGAAACUGCCUGAUGGAGGGGGAUAACUACUGGAAACGGUAGCUAAUACCGCAUAACGUCGCAAGACCAAAGAGGGGGACCUUAGGGCCUCUUGCCAUCGGAUGUGCCCAGAUGGGAUUAGCUAGUAGGUGGGGUAACGGCUCACCUAGGCGACGAUCCCUAGCUGGUCUGAGAGGAUGACCAGCCACACUGGAACUGAGACACGGUCCAGACUCCUACGGGAGGCAGCAGUGGGGAAUAUUGCACAAUGGGCGCAAGCCUGAUGCAGCCAUGCCGCGUGUAUGAAGAAGGCCUUCGGGUUGUAAAGUACUUUCAGCGGGGAGGAAGGGAGUAAAGUUAAU
RNAcentral lists this ribosomal RNA (460 nucleotides) under uncultured bacterium. RNAcentral's name for it is "bacterial SSU rRNA". It matches the Rfam family "Bacterial small subunit ribosomal RNA", at positions 8 to 464 of the family's 1533-position model. The record is from RNAcentral.